AUUGAACGCUGGCGGAAUGCUUUACACAUGCAAGUCGAACGGCAGCACGGGGGCGAACCCUCGGUGGCGAGUGGCGAACGGGUGGAGUAAUACAUCGGAACGGUGCCCAACUCGUGGGGGAGUAACUACGCGAAAGCGUAGCUAAUACCGCAUACGAUCUACGGAUGAAAGCGGGGGAGUCGCAAGACCUCGCGCGAAUGGAGCGGCCGAUGGCAGAUUAGGUAGUUGGUGGGGUAAAGGCGUCACCAAGCCGUCGAUCUGUAGCUGGUCUGAGAGGACGACCAGCCACACUGGGACUGAGACACGGCCCAGACUCCUACGGGAGGCAGCAGUGGGGAAGUUUUGGACAAUGGGCGCAAGCCUGAUCCAGCCAUUCCGCGUGCAGGAUGAAGGCCCUCGGGUU
RNAcentral lists this ribosomal RNA (403 nucleotides) under uncultured bacterium. RNAcentral's name for it is "bacterial SSU rRNA". It matches the Rfam family "Bacterial small subunit ribosomal RNA", at positions 29 to 424 of the family's 1533-position model. The record is from RNAcentral.